RNAcentral lists this ribosomal RNA (512 nucleotides) under Bacillus sp. V1-6. RNAcentral describes it as "bacterial SSU rRNA". It matches the Rfam family "Bacterial small subunit ribosomal RNA", at positions 1 to 500 of the family's 1533-position model. The record is from RNAcentral. Lineage: Bacteria; Bacillati; Bacillota; Bacilli; Caryophanales; Bacillaceae.
CUGAGUUUGAUCCUGGCUCAGGACGAACGCUGGCGGCGUGCCUAAUACAUGCAAGUCGAGCGGACUUCUUAAAAGCUUGCUUUUAAGAAGUCAGCGGCGGACGGGUGAGUAACACGUGGGCAACCUGCCUGUAAGACUGGGAUAACUUCGGGAAACCGGAGCUAAUACCGGAUAAUAUAAGGAACCUCCUGGUUCUUUAUUGAAAGAUGGUUUCGGCUAUCACUUACAGAUGGGCCCGCGGCGCAUUAGCUAGUUGGUGAGGUAAUGGCUCACCAAGGCGACGAUGCGUAGCCGACCUGAGAGGGUGAUCGGCCACACUGGGACUGAGACACGGCCCAGACUCCUACGGGAGGCAGCAGUAGGGAAUCUUCCACAAUGGACGAAAGUCUGAUGGAGCAACGCCGCGUGAGCGAUGAAGGCCUUCGGGUCGUAAAGCUCUGUUGUUAGGGAAGAACAAGUGCGAGAGUAACUGCUCGCACCUUGACGGUACCUAACCAGAAAGCCACGGCAAC